AACCUGCGGAANGGAUCAUUA
This 21-nucleotide ribosomal RNA is filed under the name Collybiopsis confluens. RNAcentral's name for it is "partial 18S ribosomal RNA". The record is from RNAcentral. Lineage: Eukaryota; Fungi; Basidiomycota; Agaricomycetes; Agaricales; Omphalotaceae.